RNAcentral lists this ribosomal RNA (497 nucleotides) under uncultured bacterium. Its description in RNAcentral is "partial 16S ribosomal RNA". It matches the Rfam family "Bacterial small subunit ribosomal RNA", at positions 28 to 507 of the family's 1533-position model. The record is from RNAcentral.
GAUGAACGCUGGCGGCGUGCCUAAUACAUGCAAGUCGAGCGAACAGACGAGGAGCUUGCUCCUCUGACGUUAGCGGCGGACGGGUGAGUAACACGUGGAUAACCUACCUAUAAGAUUGGGAUAACUUCGGGAAACCGGAGCUAAUACCGGAUAAUAUAUUGAACCGCAUGGUUCAAUAGUGAAAGACGGUUUUGCUGUCACUUAUAGAUGGAUCCGCGCCGCAUUAGCUAGUUGGUAAGGUAACGGCUUACCAAGGCGACGAUGCGUAGCGGACCUGAGAGGGGGAUCGGCCACACUGGAACUGAGACACGGUCCAGACUCCUACGGGAGGGAGCAGUAGGGAAUGUUCCGCAAUGGGCGAAAGCCUGACGGAGCAACGGCGCGUGAGUGAUGAAGGUCUUCGGAUCGUAAAACGCUGUUAUUAGGGAAGAACAAAUGUGUAAGUAACUAAGCACGUCUUGACGGUACCUAAUCAGAAAGCCACGGCUAACUACGUG